CAACUUUCAGCAAUGGAUCUCUUGGCUCUCGC
Molecule: ribosomal RNA, 32 nt
Filed under: Chroogomphus ochraceus
Lineage: Eukaryota; Fungi; Basidiomycota; Agaricomycetes; Boletales; Gomphidiaceae
Description: partial 5.8S ribosomal RNA
Source: RNAcentral